GCAUGUUGUGUCUCGUGCUGGGGACACAACGGCCGUUGUGCUCUUGGGUCUGAGUGCAUGUGAAGCUGUGCUUGCUGCAAUGUCAGGUCUCUGUGUGGGUGAGACCAGCUACAUCUCUCCUGGCUCCCAGGGUUGCACAGAAGAAGGCUCAGGCAGAGGGGCUCAGGGGCAGCUGAAUGCCUCCAACUCUGCCCAUGGCCAUGAAUUGCUGCUGUUGCUGAGUUCUCAAAGACCCCAGUCUCAUGAAAUACUGUAUAAACAACCUGAGAAAGGUCUUCCAAAACAUGCUGUACAUCCAACUAAAUAUUGAUAUGCCUUUCCAUUAAUAUGUACUUUCCAUCCGGAAACAUCAUCAUAUAAAUCAGUGUUUCAGCUGGCUGAAGUAAGUGUGUGCCUUGGGACGCAAUAUCCAAGCAGUCCUUCUCUGUGCAUUCCAGCCUUGAUUUAAUCCAGGUUUAUCUCAGCUUUGCCCUAGCUGAUUAGGAACAGGUUUAAGCUAAACUUGGCCAAGCUACUCUUAAACUGAAGUAGGUGUUCAUAGAAAGCAUCACAUUAAUUAGCCUGGAUGGGUGCAAACUCUAUGUACAGAAAUCUUAUUUAUGUUCUUCCCUGCCAUCUCUUUCUCUUCUUACUGAGCCUCUCGCUGCUCCCAUGUUAGUCUUUGUUCUGCUGACCCUAUGACUGUGGCAGAAUUAAUGCUAUUUGCAUCUCUAAAUUCAGAGAAAGCUACACAGCAGCCAAAAUGUUAAUCACUUUAAAGCAGUGAAGGCAUAAAUGUAACAGCCUGACACGGGGCAUGGCACAAGAAACAGAGGUAAUGAAGAGAAUCAGUAACAAACAGAUAAAAAAAAAAAAAAAAGACAUGAAACAGGACGGGGGUAUAAAGUCAGUCACACAGCAAAUGAAGUCUAAAUCUGAUAAACAGUGGAAACCAAAUGAACCACAUUUACACGUUCAUGCUUGGCCAAGGUAAUGGUGGAGUCCAAGUGAGCGGCUGCACUUUCCGCACAACUUUUUGCCAGCUGGAGCUCCAGGAGCUGCAGCGUAUGAGGGAGUGAUAACACACAGAUCUCAGCACAGCCGUGCCCAUGAGGAGGUUAAGCCUCAGCCAUAGAUACACCAAGAAGUGCUCACUGACCUGGGCAGUGAGUCCAUUAGGUGGAAGACUCAGUGGCUUCCUAUUGCAUCUCAUACAGCCAUAAACUCUUUCAUUGUUCUUCAUGGUGAGUUUAAUAGCUGUAAGAAGUGCUGGCCACACUUAUCACUCAACAUUUUUUGAGGGAACUGAAAAUUUUUGCUGGAAAUGCAGUUUUUCUAAAGAAAUAAAAACUUUUUUUUCACUUCUCUACCUCGCCUU
This 1357-nucleotide long non-coding RNA is filed under the name Struthio camelus australis. RNAcentral's name for it is "lncRNA (ENSSCUG00000012262.1)". The record is from RNAcentral. Lineage: Eukaryota; Metazoa; Chordata; Aves; Struthioniformes; Struthionidae.